This 366-nucleotide ribosomal RNA is filed under the name Pratylenchus environmental sample. RNAcentral's name for it is "SSU rRNA". It matches the Rfam family "Eukaryotic small subunit ribosomal RNA", at positions 1252 to 1642 of the family's 1831-position model. The record is from RNAcentral. Lineage: Eukaryota; Metazoa; Nematoda; Chromadorea; Rhabditida; Pratylenchidae.
CAGCUUUUUCAUGAUUCGGUGGAUGGUGGUGCAUGGCCGUUCUUAGUUCGUGGAGCGAUCUGUCUGGUUUAUUCCGAUAACGAGCGAGACUCUGGCCUACUAACUAGUCCGCGCAUUGCCUCUGUGCCGUUGGACUUCUUAGAGGGAUUCGCGGUGUUCAGCCGCAAGAAAUGGAGCAAUAACAGGUCUGUGAUGCCCUUAGAUGUCCGGGGCUGCACGCGCGCUACACUGGCAGAAUCAGCUGGCUUGUCCUGCCCCGAAAGGGGCGGGUAAACCCGUGAAAAUCUGCCGUGAUUGGGAUCGGAAAUUGCAAUUAUUUUCCGUGAACGAGGAAUUCCAAGUAAGUGCGUGUCAUCAACACGCGUU